GGAAUUUCUGGGCAUACUCAAACACUAUCAUAUCGCUUUGGACCAGGUGUGCAAAGUUCAUCUCCUUCAAAUGUCGAAGGUGUUCUGGGAGGUAGUCUAUAUUAAAAGUUGUCAGGAACUAUUCCUAGGUAAUUGGAAUGGGUAGAAUGACCUACUUCAGUUGUCACCAAUGACCUGCCUCACCCACGAGCAUGUAAAUAGUAAGUAUGACCUUCUAUUUGAUAACUACCACAAGAGUUGC
Molecule: long non-coding RNA, 241 nt
Filed under: Carica papaya (papaya)
Lineage: Eukaryota; Viridiplantae; Streptophyta; Magnoliopsida; Brassicales; Caricaceae
Description: long non-coding RNA (CPAP_LNC001674)
Source: RNAcentral